This 503-nucleotide ribosomal RNA is filed under the name uncultured Lachnospiraceae bacterium. RNAcentral's name for it is "partial 16S ribosomal RNA". The record is from RNAcentral. Lineage: Bacteria; Bacillati; Bacillota; Clostridia; Lachnospirales; Lachnospiraceae.
CACGUAGUUAGCCGGGGCUUCUUACUCAGGUACCGUCAUUCUCUUCCCUGCUGGUAGAGCUUUACAUACCGAAAUACUUCUUCACUCACGCGGCGUCGCUGCAUCAGGGUUUCCCCCAUUGUGCAAUAUUCCCCACUGCUGCCUCCCGUAGGAGUCUGGGCCGUGUCUCAGUCCCAAUGUGGCCGGCCACCCUCUCAGGUCGGCUACUGAUCGUCGCCUUGGUGGGCCUCUACCCCGCCAACCAGCUAAUCAGACGCGGAUCCAUCCCAUACCACCGGAGUUUUUCACACAGAAACCAUGCAUUCCCGUGCGCUUAUGCGGUAUUAGCAGCCGUUUCCGGCUGUUACUCCCCCGGUAUGGGGCAGGUUAUCCACGCGUUACUCACCCGUCCGCCACUAAGUAUCAACUCUUCAUCCGUUAGAAUUCAAAGUUAAUGCUCCGUUCGACUUGCAUGUGUUAAGCACGCCGCCAGCGUUCAUCCUGUACGCCAGGAUACAAACUCU